CCUCAACUCCAAAAAUCAAUCCCAACCUUCCUUUUGUGGUCAUAAACCUUGUGUUAAAAUUUCAUUGAUUUCUAUUUACUUAUACUAAAGUUAUUGUGCGAAAACCAAGAAUAAUGCUUAUUUGGGCCCUUUUUUGGCCCUUAAUUCCUAAACUGUUGGAACCAAAACUCCCAAAAUCAAUCCCAACCUUCCUUUUGUGGUCAUAAACCUUGUGUCAAAAUUUCAUAGAUUUCUAUUCACUUAAACUAAAGUUAUAGUGCAAAAACCAAGAAAAUGCUUAUUUGGGCCCUUUUUGGCCCCUAAUUCCUAAAAUGUUGGGACCAAAACUCCCAAAAUCAAUCCCAACCUUCCUUUUGUGGUCAUAAACCUUGUGUUAAAAUUUCAUUGAUUUCUAUUCACUUUUACUUAAGUUAGAGUGCGAAAAC
RNAcentral lists this long non-coding RNA (425 nucleotides) under Mytilus galloprovincialis (Mediterranean mussel). Lineage: Eukaryota; Metazoa; Mollusca; Bivalvia; Mytilida; Mytilidae. The record is from RNAcentral.